UUGUGAUGCUAUCUCAUUCUUCAAAGCCACC
This 31-nucleotide non-coding RNA is filed under the name Mus musculus (house mouse). Lineage: Eukaryota; Metazoa; Chordata; Mammalia; Rodentia; Muridae. The record is from RNAcentral.